This is a non-coding RNA of Syngnathoides biaculeatus (alligator pipefish), 72 nucleotides long. The record is from the annotation of a RefSeq genome assembly. Lineage: Eukaryota; Metazoa; Chordata; Actinopteri; Syngnathiformes; Syngnathidae.
UCACUGAUGGUGUAGUGGUAUACACACCUGCCUUUGAAGCAGGAAGCGGGGGAUCAAUUCCCGCUCAGUGAU